UGUGCAUAUUUGGAGUCAGUGUUUGAAAGAAGGCAAGAAAAACAGGAAGGUAUUCAUGAAAGCAGAGAAGACUUGCAUGAAUGUGGGGCUGAAGCCACCCGGCAGGCAACAUUCCCUCUCCUUAUACCAAAUCAUCAGAGCUGCCCUGACCACUACCCUUCCCAGCCUUUCACCUGUGACUGUCAGUGAAUCAUCCCCCCACCAUUUCCUCCUCUCCAAGAACCCACUGUGUCCGUCUGUUAUUCUGCCUCCUUCUCUUUCCAACUUCACUUACUGCUCUCAUCUCAAUGACCAUAAACACUGAAGAUCUUUUCUCUAUCCUUCCUCAUCAAAGCCACUCAGGUCUGCCGUGUUUCCGUGGGUUCUCACAAUGCCCGCCCACGUCCGAUACACAGGGCAUUGACACAGCACUUGUCAAAUGAAUUGGGCAGUGAUAAUAAAAACAAGGCAGAAGCAUUGAUCUGUACGGUCAUUUCCU
Molecule: long non-coding RNA, 478 nt
Filed under: Rattus norvegicus (Norway rat)
Lineage: Eukaryota; Metazoa; Chordata; Mammalia; Rodentia; Muridae
Description: long non-coding RNA NONRATT011479
Source: RNAcentral